RNAcentral lists this ribosomal RNA (1345 nucleotides) under uncultured bacterium. Its description in RNAcentral is "bacterial SSU rRNA". It matches the Rfam family "Bacterial small subunit ribosomal RNA", at positions 28 to 1381 of the family's 1533-position model. The record is from RNAcentral.
GACGAACGCUGGCGGCGUGCUUAACACAUGCAAGUCGAACGAUGAAGCGGUGCUUGCACCGUGGAUUAGUGGCGAACGGGUGAGUAAUACGUGAGUGACCUACCUUUGACUCUGGGAUAAGCCUGGGAAACUGGGUCUAAUACCGGAUACGACCAAUCUCUGCAUGGGGUGCUGGUGGAAAGCGUUAUGGAGUGGUUUUAGAUGGGCUCACGGCCUAUCAGCUUGUUGGUGAGGUAAUGGCUUACCAAGGCGACGACGGGUAGCCGGCCUGAGAGGGUGACCGGCCACACUGGGACUGAGACACGGCCCAGACUCCUACGGGAGGCAGCAGUGGGGAAUAUUGCACAAUGGGCGCAAGCCUGAUGCAGCGACGCCGCGUGAGGGAUGACGGCCUUCGGGUUGUAAACCUCUGUUAGCAUCGAAGAAGCGAAAGUGACGGUAGGUGCAGAGAAAGCGCCGGCUAACUACGUGCCAGCAGCCGCGGUAAUACGUAGGGCGCGAGCGUUGUCCGGAAUUAUUGGGCGUAAAGAGCUUGUAGGCGGUUGGUCGCGUCUGCUGUGAAGGCCGGGGCUUAACUCCGGUUUUGCAGUGGGUACGGGCUAACUAGAGUGCAGUAGGGGAGACUGGAAUUCCUGGUGUAGCGGUGGAAUGCACAGAUAUCAGGAGGAACACCGAUGGCGAAGGCAGGUCUCUGGGCUGUAACUGACGCUGAGAAGCGAAAGCAUGGGGAGCGAACAGGAUUAGAUACCCUGGUAGUCCAUGCCGUAAACGUUGGGCACUAGGUGUGGGGGACAUUCCACGUUUUCCGCGCCGUAGCUAACGCAUUAAGUGCCCCGCCUGGGGAGUACGGCCGCAAGGCUAAAACUCAAAGGAAUUGACGGGGGCCCGCACAGGCGGCGGAGCAUGCGGAUUAAUUCGAUGCAACGCGAAGAACCUUACCAAGGCUUGACAUGCAUUAGAUCGCGUCAGAGAUGGCGUUUCCCUUCGGGGCUGGUGUACAGGUGGUGCAUGGUUGUCGUCAGCUCGUGUCGUGAGAUGUUGGGUUAAGUCCCGCAACGAGCGCAACCCUCGUUCUAUGUUGCCAGCGGUUCGGCCGGGGACUCAUAGGAGACUGCCGGGGUCAACUCGGAGGAAGGUGGGGAUGACGUCAAAUCAUCAUGCCCCUUAUGUCUUGGGCUUCACGCAUGCUACAAUGGCCGGUACAGAGGGUUGCGAUACUGUGAGGUGGAGCUAAUCCCUUAAAGCCGGUCUCAGUUCGGAUUGGGGUCUGCAACUCGACCCCAUGAAGUCGGAGUCGCUAGUAAUCGCAGAUCAGCAACGCUGCGGUGAAUAGGUUCCCGGGCCU